AAAACCAUUAUCUAAGAAAGUUUAAAUUAGGAAAUAAAUAUCAUAUAUCUUAAAAAUUAAAUUUUCUAAGAAAACGGGUUAAUUAACCCAACCAAAUGGUAGGCGGGUCGCGGAUCGUCCAGGCACGAGGAGUUUCCCCUGGAAAAUCCGAACGAAUUUCACUGAUCGAGCAGCGAGCGACACUCUGCAAUCCAGCCUCAAAAUAUCCCAGUUGCUACUAGUUUUUUGAUCGGAGAAACAAAAUACAUAAAUAAGAACAGAAAUACAGAAUAUGAUAACUCGGUCUAAACUCGUUGAGCAACUCAGGGAUUACCAGAUCCGAUCGCAGCACAAGUGUCCUGCUCUAACUAUCUUCUCUCCCAAACCCCACAUCACUUCUUGGGUUGAUGUUGCUGUGGCAAUCUGCUGGGCAUUCGUGUUUAGCAUGCUUGUCAUAUCAUCUUUUGUGACCCUCUAUUUCAGGCACUUUUGGCUUUCUUUUCUCAUAAUCUGCCUUGGGAUUUUUCUUCCCAUACGCUUGCGAAGUUCUAGGCAGGUACUGACCCGGAAGAGGGAGAGAAGAUUGUUAUUACCUUUGUCAAUGUGAAUUUGCCAUGGCAGUAAAGUUUUUCAAGCAUGUAGACCAGUGAUGAUUUUUUUAACUUGCAUUUGAGUGCUGUGACAUAUUAUAGAGCAAUUCCAAAGCAUGGAGCACUCCUUUUGGUCAACCAUGAGAGUUCCCUAGUCUCUACACUCUGAGAUAAAUGGGAUAAGGCUCCAUGUGUUGAAUUGGAUGUGAAGAUCAAGGACAGUGGAUGUUGGCAUUAAAAAAAAAGGCAAAGGGCUCAAUACGCUGGGCAACUAUACUAUGCUUCUUUAAUUAUUCUUAUUAAUCGAUAAGACAGGGCAAUGGUAAAAUUGCUGUUGGGUAACACAUGUUCAAAGGGCCAAUCAAUCAAUAGUCUGCCAAUAAUUGUGAAAUUUAAGUAUUUGUUUAAGGUCACAUUAGCCAACUGCAAUCAUGAAACCUUCAGUUUUUGUGCCAAGGUUUACAGAUUAGGCAUUUCAAGCAAAUUUUAUAUAUAAUUAUUGGUGGUUAAGUGAAAGUUCUGCCCUGAUGCGCAAUCAAAGAAAUAGAUUCAUUAAUUCUAUUCUUUUGAACUC
Hevea brasiliensis (rubber tree) is the source of this 1143-nucleotide long non-coding RNA. RefSeq lists it as uncharacterized. The transcript has 4 exons. The record is from RefSeq and is a predicted model, not a curated record. NCBI's taxonomy places the organism in Eukaryota, Viridiplantae, Streptophyta, Magnoliopsida, Malpighiales, Euphorbiaceae.